This 72-nucleotide transfer RNA is filed under the name Ipomoea nil (Japanese morning glory). It matches the Rfam family "tRNA". From Rfam's summary of the family: Transfer RNA (tRNA) molecules are approximately 80 nucleotides in length. Lineage: Eukaryota; Viridiplantae; Streptophyta; Magnoliopsida; Solanales; Convolvulaceae. The record is from Rfam by way of RNAcentral.
GGGCAUUUGGUUUAGUGGUACAAUUCUCGCUUUGGGUGCGAGCAGUCUUGAGUUUGAUUCUCGGAAUGCCCU